Molecule: non-coding RNA, 73 nt
Organism: Ovis aries (sheep)
Lineage: Eukaryota; Metazoa; Chordata; Mammalia; Artiodactyla; Bovidae
Source: Rfam
UCCCUGGUGGUCCAGUGGCUAAGACUCUGUGCUCCCCAUGCAGGGGGCCAGGGUUCGAUCCCUGGUUAGGGAA